AUUGAACGCUGGCGGCACGCCUUACACAUGCAAGUCGAACGGCAGCACGGGGGCAACCCUGGUGGCGAGUGGCGAACGGGUGAGUAACACAUCGGAACGUACCCGGUGGUGGGGGAUAGCCCGGCGAAAGCCGGAUUAAUACCGCAUACGACCUACGGGUGAAAGCGGGGGAUCGUAAGACCUCGCGCUAUCGGAGCGGCCGAUGUCAGAUUAGGUUGUUGGUGGGGCAAAGGCCUACCAAGCCGANGAUCUGUAGCUGGUCUGAGAGGACGACCAGCCACACUGGGACUGAGACACGGCCCAGACUCCUACGGGAGGCAGCAGUGGGGAAUUUUGGACAAUGGGCGCAAGCCUGAUCCAGCCAUGCCGCGUGCGGGAAGAAGGCCCUCGGGUUGUAAACCGCUUUUGUCGGGGAAGAAGCGCUCUGGGCUAAUUAUCCCGGGGUAUGACGGUACCCGAAGAAUAAGCACCGGCUAACUACGUGCCAGCCGCCGCUGUAAU
Molecule: ribosomal RNA, 501 nt
Filed under: uncultured bacterium
Lineage: Bacteria
Description: bacterial SSU rRNA
Rfam family: Bacterial small subunit ribosomal RNA
Source: RNAcentral